Molecule: ribosomal RNA, 465 nt
Filed under: Vreelandella stevensii
Lineage: Bacteria; Pseudomonadati; Pseudomonadota; Gammaproteobacteria; Oceanospirillales; Halomonadaceae
Description: partial 16S ribosomal RNA
Rfam family: Bacterial small subunit ribosomal RNA
Source: RNAcentral
CCUACGGGAGGCUGCAGUGGGGAAUAUUGGACAAUGGGCGAAAGCCUGAUCCAGCCAUGCCGCGUGUGUGAAGAAGGCCUUCGGGUUGUAAAGCACUUUCGGUGGGGAAGAAAGCCUUGGGGCUAAUACCCUCGAGGAAGGACAUCACCCACAGAAGAAGCACCGGCUAACUCCGUGCCAGCAGCCGCGGUAAUACGGAGGGUGCGAGCGUUAAUCGGAAUUACUGGGCGUAAAGCGCGCGUAGGCGGUCUGAUAAGCCGGUUGUGAAAGCCCCGGGCUCAACCUGGGAACGGCAUCCGGAACUGUCAGGCUAGAGUGCAGGAGAGGAAGGUAGAAUUCCCGGUGUAGCGGUGAAAUGCGUAGAGAUCGGGAGGAAUACCAGUGGCGAAGGCGGCCUUCUGGACUGACACUGACGCUGAGGUGCGAAAGCGUGGGUAGCAAACAGGAUUAGAUACCCUGGUAGUC